RNAcentral lists this ribosomal RNA (104 nucleotides) under Paraburkholderia panacisoli. Its description in RNAcentral is "Paraburkholderia sp. DCY113 partial 16S ribosomal RNA". It matches the Rfam family "Bacterial small subunit ribosomal RNA", at positions 1 to 101 of the family's 1533-position model. The record is from RNAcentral. Lineage: Bacteria; Pseudomonadati; Pseudomonadota; Betaproteobacteria; Burkholderiales; Burkholderiaceae.
UUGAACUGAAGAGUUUGAUCCUGGCUCAGAUUGAACGCUGGCGGCAUGCCUUACACAUGCAAGUCGAACGGCAGCACGGACUUCGGUCUGGUGGCGAGUGGCGA